AUACAUUGUCUUUGUAUUAUUAGAAUUCCACUUCCGGCAUCUUAUUAACUUGCGCACGCUGUGCUGUUACACAGAAACAAUAUUUGAUCCAAGUUAUUGCGUUUAUUUAGUGGAUAAAAUCAACCGUUUAAAUAUGGCUGAGCCAGCAAAAACUGCUAAGGUAACCACUAAAGGGACUGGUGUUAAGACAUCUGGUAAAAUUAAUUCAGAUGCAGAGUAUGAGGGCAAAUUUCCAAGAAUAAAACAGGAGCCUGACACACCUGGUAAAAUUAUGGUGACUGGUAUUCCCAAAAAUGAUAACUAUUCAGAAGCUGACUUGGAAAAAGAGUUUGCACCUUAUGGUCGCAUAACAGAAGUCAACAUUAUUCGGGAUAGAAAAACAAAUCUCCCAAGAGGCUUUGCAUUUAUCACAUUUGAAAAUCCUAAAGAUGCUGAGGAUGCCACCAAAGCUCUGGAGGGAAGAAAUUUAGGGGGAGACACUCCAAUUCAUUGUGAACAGGCAGUCAUAGGCUUAAAAAAGAGUAAACAACUUAUUAUUGAAAUGAGAGGCGGGGGUAGAGGAAGAGGAAGUAGAGGUGGUGAUAGAUUAAGAGGGCGUGGUAUAGAAAGAGGUGGAAUGGGUAGGUUUAUGGAAAGAGGAGGAAGAGGAAUGAGAGGAAGGCCAGCACCAAACCCAUACAAUGAUAUGGGAGGUAUGCAAGAAGAGGAGUACUAUGAAGAAACAUUUGACCAGGAGCCAGUUUAUGAUAACUUCCCUAGAGGUGGCCCUUUCAUGCAUGGAGCACCUGGAAGAGGAAGCUUACUGGGUAGAGAAGGGCCUCCAGUUAGAGGAAGAGUUGGCUUGCGGGGUGGUCCCAUUAGCAGGGGCGUUCCUCCAGGUAGAGGCAGGGGCAUGACUGGAAUGGAGCCACCUUCUAGAGGCGGUCCACCCAGGGGUGGGCCACCCAGGAGAGCUUUACUCCCUGCCCCAGCAAUGAGGGGAACUAGGGGAGGUUAUGGUGGACCAGUGAAUAGAGAAGAAUAUUAUGAGGAAGAGGAUAAUGGUUACCAAGAGGAGUAUUAUGAAACCCAAGGUAAUGAUCCUUACGCUGAGGAAUAUGAAGAGUAUUAUGCACAGACAGAUGACUACUACACAAGAGAACGACUAGAACCUCCCAGAGGUAGAGGAGGUCUAUUAAAGAAGAGACCGCAGCCUGUUGAAGAGUAUGGUUACGAUUAUCAGACUGCCAAUCCAAGGUUACAAGCCCAGGCACAAAGAAGAAAUCCUGCUUCAGGUUAUGUAGAGGAAGAAUAUGAAGAACCUCAAAUGGCUCCAAGUCAGUUUGAAAGACCAAGGGCAAGAGUUCCACCUGGUGCAGCCCCAGUUGCUAGAAUUGGAAGAGGUGGUGCCGCACCACGGGGAAGAGGAGGUCUGCUGGGAACUGAUCCCUACAGUGCAGAAGAAUCUGCCAUGUAUGAGAGUGCUGGCCCCACAUCUGGCUAUGAAGUUGAUGCUUAUGGUGACCACUACGGUAGAAGACCAGGAGCAACACCAGCCCAGAGGUCUGCCCCGCCUAACAGGAUGAGGCCAACUCCACCUGCAGCUGAUGUGUAUACCACAGAAAGACCCAAACCAAAACCACAGCCUCUAAUGGGUGAAAUGGUGCCACAAAGGCGACCAGGUCUGGCAGGCCCUGCUCGCUUUGCCGAGAAUUAUGAAAGCUCUAAUGCAGCAGCUGUCCAAGGAAGAGAUGCAUAUUCUGAAGUGCGAAGACCUCCUGUCAGACGUGCUGAACCUGAGUACAGAGACCCUUAUCAAGCAGCUGAAACAGAUGCAUAUGUUUCUUACCCUCCAGCUGCACGAGGACCACCAGAAAUGAGUCGUAAACGUGCCAUUGAUUCAUAUGAAGAAGAAGUACCACGGGGUCCUCGUAGGGACUUUGAGGAAUACAGAUCUGCAGCAGCAGCAGCACCUUUACCACCUUCCAAAAGGGAAAGGUUAGACAGAAGUGCUUAUGAAGCCUACUCGUCCAGACAAGAGGGACCAUAUAGACUCAUUUAAGCUUGUUCAGUUCAAACAAUGCAUUGCUCUUUUCAAAUGAGGCAUAGACAGUUUUGCUGACACAGGUGAUUAAAUGGCUCAAUUAAUGUAAAUCAGCCAACAGUGAAAUCUCGAACAGUAAAACCACUCUACCGGACAGGAACUCUGGAUGACAGCAUCAUAUUCAAAAUAAAGCCUAAGUCUUGGAGAGCCCAAGUAGUGCAACGUCAUCGUCGAAGUCAAACUCCGUCAUUUGGUUUUGUUCUCGCCAUGAAAUACCAAAGGCAGUCUGAUUCAUUGCUCUCCUCAUUAUGUAGUCGAUGGCUAGGAGGAAGAGGAAGGGAGAUAAGAUGCACCCCUGUCUCACACCUGUCACGAUGCUAGCUCUAGCAUCUGUCAAGGUGAAAGAACUGAAAUCACACCAUCUGAAAAAAACUAAGCAUGGCAUCAUCCAAGAAAUUAGAAUAUAUGAAUCUUACAAGAUUGAGAAGGCAACAGCAAGCCAAUUAUCAGUGAGCAUUUCACUUUCAUUGUAAAACUCAAGAAAAGGAGCAAAUUUAGGCCUAAAUUCAACUUGGCAUGUGAUUGGAACCAAAAGGUUAAAAUAGUAGUAAGAGAAUCAAGUCAGCUGCAGGCUUUUCCAACACUUGCUUCCACUUUUCCUGACAGUAAUGGCAUAUCUAGCUUGAUGACAGGUGUGGGGUACUGUUCUGUCAUUCCUCCAAAUGUUAUACUUUGUUUUUUCUUGCCGGAAAAUUGGUUAAGGGGUCCAUGCUGUUUUUAACCCCAAUGGUGGUAGCGCCUGUUCUCUCAGAACCCAAAUAUAUUUCUUUUAGACGAAUCCAGGACACAUCUUAAGUUUUCCAGCGAUGCAUGUAACCACUCCAGCCAUAUGAACCUGAUCAGGUUCAGGAGGAAAUAGUUCAACUUUCUGACAGUCUAUUUAACCUGAUGCAUUGUACAGAUGUCUGUUUGAUCUUCCUUAGAUACUUGCUCUGAACUCAUGACUUCUGCAUGAGCCCAUAGUCUUGUUUCAUCUUUGUGGGCUUUUGUUAUGACAUUGUGCUGCUAAAUGUCCAGUUUGGAAACAUUUAAAACAUAUUUUUUUUUCAAUAACAUCUUUCAUUUACGUUUCACAUUCACCCUUUUUCAUUCUUGAUUAGAUUGGCUUUUGGUAUCAUUUGUUUUUGCAGCAACCAGGAACUCACUUAAAAUCAAGUCUUCCCCCCUUUGAAGUGUUUGCUCUGGAUGUGCUGUAAUAAACUGUUGACAAACUUUUGGUUUCAUGUCAUGAACAAAAGCCACUAGCUGAGGGUUUCAUGAUGUGAGGAUCUUUUCUAGAAUGAAUAAAUCAAUGAGACCUUCAAAUAAUGUUUCAGUAUUUGACAAUUCUACCCAGCGCAUUAGGUAUCGAACAAUCGACUAGGCUCUUGCCGUAACUAUAACUAUUAUAAACACUUAAAUAACUUAGUUGAAUUGCUAAACAUAGACUUUAUUGUCCCUUGUUUAAUCACACAUUGGCAAGUGUCCUCAUGCAAACUUACAUCUGGCCAUUCACUCAUACAUUCCAACUGACAGUUACAAGUAAAAUUUUAGUAUACACACAGGACAUUCUCAAUACCAUCAAACUAAUGAAUAAAGACCCUAAAAUACAUAACACCACACAUAUAUUGUGACAGAAGUAAUGGCAAUUCAUUAAUUUAUCAUCAUAUUUGUUUUUUGGCCAUUAAUCUCCCCUUCUUCUCAAAUUUUUUGGGUUAAAAAAAUUAGUUUUGAUGGCUGAUAAAUGACUUUUUAUUCUCAUUAAACAUCAGACUUUAAAUAUUCGAUCACAAAUUAUUGGUGUAUGCUUAACAAUAUUUAAGAUAUUGAAUAGUUUCUAUGACUUUCUAACCCUUUAUAUUGUAUUUAAGGAAAUGUCUGGUUCCUGACGAUCUAUAACAUUUUGUGAUUUUGCUUUCACUGUCGGUCUUCCAUUUCAUUGUUUACAUUUUUGUUUCUUGAUUCUUUGAUUAGGCCCCAUAGACUUCAAGGCAGCUAGCUUCCUUGAUCAGUCAUUGUUACACACCCAAUUCUAAUAAUGACUUUGAACCAAAUAAGUUGAUACCAUUAUCAUUAACAGACUUAGAGGAUAUUUUAUGGAUUCACUUGCUUUUUUUUCUU
RNA transcript from Biomphalaria glabrata, 4183 nucleotides. It is a transcript of the gene named RNA binding motif protein, X-linked-like-1, with no coding region annotated. Lineage: Eukaryota; Metazoa; Mollusca; Gastropoda; Planorbidae. The transcript is spliced from 16 exons. The record is from RefSeq and is a predicted model, not a curated record.